RNAcentral lists this long non-coding RNA (6698 nucleotides) under Homo sapiens (human). Its description in RNAcentral is "non-protein coding lnc-ADAMTSL4-7:4". The record is from RNAcentral. Lineage: Eukaryota; Metazoa; Chordata; Mammalia; Primates; Hominidae.
GCAGCUUUGGUGGGCUCCGGCUUCCUUCACUCCAGCCCACCGCGUCCGAGAGACUUAGCAGGGCGUCAAACUGGAGAGCGGAAGGAUGGAACCUUUUAUUCUCAGGUGGAGAGGAUUAAGCUUUGCGGUGUUAGCAGAAAAUGAUCGAGCUCCAGAAAAUGAUUUGGAGGGUGAUCCCUUGGGGACUACGCUCCUUGAAACAAGGAGGACAGUGUAAGUAUGUGGUAAACAUUUGGUAAAUACGGUUAAUACUAGUUAACCUAUCCAGAAUUACAGUUUAACAUUUCCUGGGCGUCUGUCUGUAUGUGGAUGGUACUGUGUUAGUUGGGGGGGGUACGUGUAUAGUAAGGCAGUCUCUGCCCUUAGAAAGCUUACAGGCCUGGCUGGGCGCGGUGACUCACGCCUGUAAUGCCAGCACUCUGGGAGGCGUAGGCGGGCGAAUCACUUGAGGUCAGGAGUUCGAAACCAGCCUGGCCAACAUGGUGAAACCCUGUCUCUACUAGAAAUACAAAACAAGGCUGGGCACGGUGGCCCACGCAUGUAAUCCCAGCACCUUGGGAGGCCGAUGAGGGUGGAUCAUGAUGUCAGGCGAUAGAAACCAUCCUGGUCAACAUGGAGAAACCCCGUCUCUACUAAAAAUACAAAAAUUAGCCAGGCGUGGUGGCGUGCACCUGUAGUCCCAGCUACUCAGGAGCCUGAGGCAGGAGAAUCGCUUUUACCUGGGAGGCGGAGGUUGCAGUGAACCGAGAUCGCAUCUCGCCACUGAACUCCAGCCUGGGUGACAGUGAGAGUCCGUCUCAAAAAAAAAAAAAAAAAAAGAGUGGCAGAUAAGAAGUGCUCUUUAUGGAGAUAAUUUGGUGGUAAUGAAUAAAAAGACUCAGAAUUCCAAGCAGAAAACUACCAGAGAUGAACAGUCUAGCCGAGUCCUCUGCAAACGUUAGGUGGGAGAUAAUUAGGAUUUAACCUAGAAACGUAGUAGUUAAGAAUAGAAAAUAGUGAACCUAACCAAGAGAGUCUGUGACAAUGGAAUCCACUAGACUAGCAGCUGACUGAAUAGAGAAUGAGAAGACUGUGUGCCUCAAGGUGAUUAUUUAUAGAAACAAUAAAUUCAAGAAGAGGAGUCAAUUUGGGAAUGGAGCUGAAAAGCAGAGAGAAAAUAAGGCAUUCAGUUUUGAAAACAUGGACUUUUUUUUUUUUUUUUUUUUUUUUUUGAGACGGAGUCUCGCUCUGUCACCCAGGCUGUAGUGCAGUAGCACAAUCUCAGUUCCCUACAACCUCUGCCUCGCGGGUUAAAGUGAUUCUCCUGCCUCAGCCUCCCGACUACAGGUGUGCGCCACCAUGCCCGGCUGAUUUUUGUAUUUUUAGUAGAGACAGGGUUUCGCCAUGUUGGCCAGGCUGGUCUCAAACUCCUGAACUCAGGUGACCUGCCUGCCUCGGCCUCCCAAAUGCUGGGAUUACGGGCGUGAACCACCGUGCCCGGCCUGAAAACAUGGACUUUAUUAAAAGCGAAUGAACCAUUUGGUGGAGACAUCCAGGCAAUGAAGACUUAGGAUAAAUGACCUCUAAGAUCUCCAUAUCUGAAAUUUAAGGGUUCUAGGAAAUGUAAGUGUGGGAGUUUGGGAGAAAAGUAGACGCUGAAGAUGUACAAAUUUUGGACUUUUUCACAUAAAUGUAAGUAAAGUUGUGGAAGUUGAUGGGAUCACAAAGGAGAAUGUAGGAAAAAAAGAGGUUCCAGUCAGGUGCGGUGGCUUACACCUGUAAUCCCAACACUUUGAAUGGUCAAGGUGAGAGGAUCGCCUGAAGCCAGGAGUUUGAGGUUACAGUGAGCUAUGAUCAUGCCAUUGCACUCCAGCCUAGGCAACAGAGUGAACCCGUCUCUUAAAAAAAAAAAAAAAAAAAAAACUCCCAAGACAGAAACGUGGGGAAAAGUUGGCAAAAGACAUACAAAUGAUCAGAGUGGUAGGGAGAGAAUUAGAAGAGAGAAGAGCCAUGGAAAGCAAAUGAAGAAAGGGAGGGCAGGUUGUCAAUGUUAAAUGUGAUACAGAAAUUAAAGAUGGAGGUGAUAGAGGUCAAUCGCAAGACGUUAAGGAGCGAGGAGGUGGUACCAAUAUUGAACAGUGGUAGCAAUAUUUAACAGUAAAGCAAGGAAAGGGCAGAGCUGUAGCAGCAGAUUUUCUUUUGGGGAAUAGGCAAGACUCAAGCAUGUUUUUAGAAAAGGCGAAUGAGGCUGGAUGUGGUGGCUCACGCCUGUAACCCCAGCACUUUGGGAUUCAUCUAAAAGAUGAAUAAUUCUUUUGGGAAAUACUUUCUGAUCAAGCUAUUUCUAAUUCCAAGCUCUGCUUAAGAAUAAUGUGUAAAAACUAUGAUUGCUAAAGGAACGAUUGAUUUAAAUUAUACAUUUGUCCUUUUUUUUGAGACUGAGUUUAAUUCUUGUUGCCCAGGCUGGAGUGCAAUGAUGUGAUAUCUCGGCUCACUGCAACCUCCCCCUCCCAGGUUCAAGUGAUUCUCCUGCCUCAGCUGUGGGGAAAAGAAAGAGAGAUCAGACUGUUACUGUGUCUGUGUAGAAAGAAGUAGAUAUAAGAGACUCCAUUUUGUUCAUCUUGUGAGUCGAUGGCGCACGAUUGCGGUGUUUCUGUCUCCGUGGAGGUGCUUUUCUUUGCAUCUCCGAUGGGUUCAUUGUAGAACUUCAAAUGUCUAGUGGGUAUCCAAACAGGAAGCUGAUUUUCUCCUGGUGAAACACAAGCAAAACCUCUCCCCCAUGUUACCACCUUCCCUAUUUCCCAUGUCUUAUUUUUAUUAUCUUUCUACCAAAUCAGUUUUCCUUCAUGUGGGCUGUUCUUUUUACCAGUAAGAUGUUGUUCUGCAGAAGUAGUAGUCUGAUUUCUAUAAAUGUUUAAAAAAUAUAAAGUGCUAGAUUAAGUUGCAUCUGAGGCGUGGUACAUUCCUUACUGUCUCCCCCUUCUUUUUAUUUAACUAAUUGAGUUUUGAGUGUUCUAUUAGUUCUUUCAACUAUGGCCUGUCCUUGGGAAUUAUAAGGAAUUCCUGUUGUAUGUGAAAUUUUCCACUGACUUAAGAAUUUUUGGAAAGCUUUACUACAGUAUCCUGCCCCAUUGUCAGUUUUAAUUUUUUCUGGAACUCUCAUUACAGCAAAACAAGGUAAUAAAUGUUUUUUAACAUGGGAAGUACUUUCUCCUGUCUGGCAGGUUGCCCAUAUGAAAUGUGAAUAAGUAUCAACUGUUACAUGAACAUAUAAUAAUCUUCCAAAUGAAGGUACAUGCGUGACAUCCAUUUGCCGUAAUGCAUUAGGACACAGACCCCUGGGAUUAACUCCUGCCUCUUGAGUGGGCAGGUGUAGGACUUGACACUGGGUGCAAUGUCGUACAAUAUCUUUUGCCUGUUUCCAUGUGACAUCAAAUUUGUUUUUUAAUCCUGCUGCAUUUACAUGAGUCAAAGCAUGAAAUUUUUGUGCUUUUAUGAAUGCAGAUGAUACCAGUAAGUCAGCUGGUUCAUUUGCUUUAGUCAAAGGCCCUGGUAAAUUAGUGUGUGCUCGAAUAUGAGUAAUAUAAAAUGGGAAAUUUCUUUUUCUUACAGUUUGUUGUAAUAAAUUGAAUAGCUGGUUUAACUGAUCAUCCAUGCUAUAUUUAAUUAGAGCUGUCUUUACAUCCCUUGUAGCCUGUACUACAUAUGCAGAAUCUGAUACAAUAUUGAUAGGUUGAUCAAAAUCUUGUAACACUGUAAUGACUGCAACCAACUCUGCCCUUCGAGCCAAUUGAUAUUGAGUUUUGAUUACUUGCUCUUUUGGCCCUGUGUAAGCCGCUUUUCCAUUGCUGGAACCAUCAGUAAACACUGUCAGAGCAUUUUCUAAAGGUUCACGUCUGGUAAUUUUAGGUAGAAUCCAAGUAGUUAAUUUUAAAAACUGGAAGAUUUUUGUUUUUGGGUAAUGAUGAUCAAUAAUUCCCACAAAAUUAGCAAGACCAAUCUGCCAUGCACCAGAAUUGAUAAAGGCUUGUCUAACUUGUUCCUUGGUUCAAGGGACAACUAUUUUGUCUGGGUCAUUUACACACAAUUUUAUUAUUUGUAAUCUUGCCUGACCAAUUAAUGUAGCUAUUUGAUCCAAGUACAAUGUAAAAGUCUUAAUUGUACUGUGAGGAAGGAAUGACCACUCCACAAGAUCAGUAUUUUGAACAGUGAUGCCUGUUGGAGAAUGUGCAGUAGCAAAAACCAAAAGUUGGAGUGGGGCUAAGGGAUCUAUUCUAUUUAUUUGCACUGACUGAAUUUUUUGUUCCACUAAUUUAAUUUCUUUUAUUGCCUCUGGGGUUAAUAUUCUCUUACUAUUUAAGUCUGAGUCUCCUCUUAAGAUAGAGAACCAAUUUUCGAAGCAUCAAAAGCCCAUUUAAAUUUGGUACCAGAAACUGAGGCAAUCGCAGGAGUGACUGAUGGCCUCGCAAAUCUUAACCCUGUCACUUGGGUUAAGACCAUCGGAAGUACUACUAUUAUAAAUUUCGUAUUAAUCCUUGUGUGCCUGUUUUAUCUGUUGUUAGUCUGCAGGUGUACCCAGCAGCUCCGAAGAGACAGCGACCAUCGAGAACAAGCCAUGAUGAUGAUGGUGGUUUGUCGAAAAGGAAAUGGGGAAAUGUGGGGAAAAGAGAGAUCAGACUGUUACUGUGUCUGUGUAGAAAGAAGUAGACAUAAGAGACUCCAUUUUGUUCUGUACUAAGAAAAAUUAUUCUGCCUUGAGAUGCUGUUAAUCUGUAACCCUACCCCCAACCCUGUGCUCCCUGAAACACGUGCUGUGUCAACUCAGGGUUAAAUGGAUUAAGGGCUGUGCAGGAUGUGCUUUGUUAAACAAAUGCUUGAAGGCAGCAUGCUUGUUAAGAGUCAUCAUCACUCCCUAAUCUCAAGUACCCAGAGACAAUACGCUGCGGAAGGCCGCAGGGACCUCUGCCUAGGAAAGCCAGGUAUUGUCCAAGGUUUCUCCCCAUGUGAUAGUCUGAAAUAUGCUGGCCGGGAAAGACCUGACCGUCCCCCAGCCCAACACCCGUAAAGGGUCUGUGCUGAGGAGGAUUAGUAAAAGAGGAAGGAAGGCCUCUUUGCAGUUGAGAUAAGAGGAAGGCAUCUGUCUCCUGCUCGUCCCUGGGCAAUGGGAUGUCUCGGUGUAAAACCCGAUUGUAUGUUCCAUCUACUGAGAUGGGGAAAACCGCCUUAGGGCUGGAUGUGGGACAUGCUGGCAGCAAUACUGCUCUUUAAGGCAUUGAGAUGUUUAUGUGUAUGCACAUCAAAAGCACAGCACUUUUUUCUUUACCUUGUUUAUGAUGCGGAGACGUUUGUUCACAUGUUUUCCUGCUGACCUUCUCUCCACUAUUACCCUAUUGUCCUGCCACAUCCCCCUCUCCGAGAAACGCCCAAUAAUGAUCAAUAAAUACUGAGGGAACUCAGAGACUGGUGCCGGUGCGGGUCCACUGUAUGCUGAGCGCCACUUCCCUAAGCCCACUUUUCUUUCUCUAUACUUUGUCUCUGUGUCUCCUUCUUUUCUUAAGUCUCUCAUUCCACCUGACAAGAAAUGCCCACAAGUGUGGAGGGGCAGGCCACCCCUUCACUCAGCCUCCUGAGUAGCUGGGAUUGCAGGUGCGCGCCACCAUGUCUGGCUAAUUUUUGUGUUUUUAGUAGAGGCGGGGUUUCACCCUGUUGGCCAGGUUGGUCUUGAACUCCUGACCUCAGGUGAUCCACCCAUCUGGGCCUCCCAAAGUUCUGAGAUUACAGGCAUGAGUCACCGUGCCCAGCCCAUUUAUCCUUGAUAUAGCUAAAUUACUGAGCAUUAGGAAGGGUGGAACUUUCAGCCUGUAAAAUAUGAGUGAGGUUUCACAAAAACUAGCACAAUGUCUGGGGCCCAGAUUAUUCUAUUUGUGACUGGGCGGGAAGAGGUAUAUAUAUAGUAAUUUUUGUAUUUUUAGUAGAGACGGGGUUUCACCAUGUUGGCCAGGCUGGUCUUGAACUCCUGACGUUAAGUGAUCCAUCUGCCUCCCAAAGUGCUGGGAUUACAGGUGUGAGCCACCACUUUGGGCCAUAGAUCGGGUGAUUGGGGGAAGACCUGAGGUAUCUGAGCAGAAAUCUGGUUGGGGAGUGAGCCAACAGUUAUCUGGAGGGAAACUGGUUCAGGCAGAGGGAAGAGCAAAUCCAAAGCUCCUAAAGCAAAAGCAUAUUUUUGGUGUAUUUGAGAAACAGCAAGAAGGUCAAUGUAGCUAAGAGCCGGAAUAAGAGAAGAGAUGCAGGCAGGGAUGAGAUUGUUUUUGGCUUCUUAGGUCAUGGUAAGAACUUGGAUUUUAUUUUUUGUGUAAUGGGCACCCAUCAGAUGGUGUUGAGGAGGGGACUGACACAAAAUCAUUUAGGUAUUAAACUGAUCCUUCCGCUGCUCCAUGGGGACCCAGAGUGGAAGUAGUAGCAGGAAACCAAUUAGGCUUUUACAAUAGUUCAGGUAAGAGAUGACAGUGACUUGGACUAGGGUGUAGUAGCUAUGGAGAUGGUUGAAAAUGGCUAGAUGUGGGAUCUAUUUUAAAGGUACCACCAACAGCAUUUGCAGACUCAAGGAUGAUUUCAAAGUUUUGGGUCUGAGCAACUAGGUGAAUGAUAACAUUGUUUACUGAGACGGGGAGGCCUUAAGUAGAAGGUUUAGGAGGGAAAAUAUAGAUUUUGCUAUGGAC